AGGGCCCCUCAGAGGGUAUUGGGGGUUCUGAGGGGGAAAUGGGGGACUUUGGGAAGCAAUUGUGAGGUCCCGGGGUGGGGAGUGAAUUGGGGUCCUGUGAGUGCCAAGGGGUUCCAUGAGGGGAACGGGGAUGCUGGGGUGGCACCUGAAGGGGGAAAACUCCUCAAAAACCUCCUUUCCCCAUCUUUUUUUCCCAGCUGCCGCCGCCAUGAGCCACCACCACGAGCACCUGGGCGACGGCCGCCCCCUCGCCGUCGCUGCCAGAAUCCCAAGCAAAUCCAAGCGCCUGCGGACCAAGCGGGAGCGCAACGCCGCCAAGUUCGGCGCCAAGAUGCCCUUGUGGGGCUCCCGGCGGGGCCUCGCCAUGCCCCAACGCUGGCUGCAGCCUCCCCCGUGGGGGGCUCUGGCUCUGGGGAGCCCCCUGCGCCCCCCGAAACCCGUGGUGAUCACUCAGAACCGCCUGUGCCACCGCGGCCUCUUCAACCGCGAGGUCAAAUCGCUGGACGUGCGGCGCCUGCUGACCCCCGGCAGGGCUGAGAGCCCCCCGGCCCCCCGGGCCGAGGAGGGGGAGGUCGGGGGGGUCCCGGGCGAGGCGCUGCAGGAGCUGGUGGCCGGCCUGGCCUCGCUGCUCGUGGGUCUGGGGGCGUUCGUGGGGCGGGAGCUGGUGAGCGAGCGGCACCGCGGCCUCGUGGCCACGCUCAGGAGGUACCGCCGGGGCGCCCCGGACCUGGGGGUCUUCCUGGCCCACCGGACCCCCGCCCAGCCCCCAGGUACCGCCCCGACGGGAGGGAGGAUUUUUUACCCCAAAUGGGUUUUUUUUACCUUUAUUUCCCCCCUCCCAAAUAAAGCGUUGUCUCCAGCAGGUCAGAAGGCACCCCAGGAAGAGGCGAGGCCAGGACCCCCAGGACCAGCGCUCAUUUUGGGGGAGUGGGAUGCGCAGGACCCCCCUGCUGGGACCCCCAGCCCACUUGGUGUUGUCGAUACACUCCCCCGUGCCCCCAGCCCCAUUUUUGGAGCCCUCGGAGAGCGGGAGGUGAGUGUGGGGUUUGGGGGGCCCGGGGGAGCCCCCCGCUGAUUUGGGGGGGUUUUCCUGACGCGCCCCCCUCCCCCCAGAACCCUUUCUCAUGGAGCUCGGCCGAGGAGGAGGAGGAGGAGGAGAGCCCCGGGGGGCUCCCCCAGACCUGGGCUGGUCCCGGGGGGCUCCCGCCGCCACCUCCCCCCUUUUGGAGGUCCCCACAGCCGCCCCAUGGGGC
Molecule: long non-coding RNA, 1253 nt
Filed under: Chloebia gouldiae (Gouldian finch)
Lineage: Eukaryota; Metazoa; Chordata; Aves; Passeriformes; Passeridae
Description: Erythrura gouldiae (Gouldian finch) lncRNA (ENSEGOG00005018540.1)
Source: RNAcentral